GCCUUCGUGGUGUAGUGGUCAGCACGCUCGACUCCUAAUCAAGAGGUCCGUAGUUCGAUUCCCGGCAAAGGCA
Non-coding RNA from Stegodyphus mimosarum, 73 nucleotides. The record is from Rfam. Lineage: Eukaryota; Metazoa; Arthropoda; Arachnida; Araneae; Eresidae.